This 451-nucleotide long non-coding RNA is filed under the name Dermacentor andersoni. Its description in RNAcentral is "uncharacterized LOC126537570". Lineage: Eukaryota; Metazoa; Arthropoda; Arachnida; Ixodida; Ixodidae. The record is from RNAcentral.
GCAGGACAGCUUCCUGAGGGCCAGGAUAAUCGCUGCUGUGACCAUUGGCGUGAUGCAGCUGGUGGUUCUCAAGCACAUCAACAGGAUGUACGAGAAUAUCCUGAAGAGGGCAGUCAGAAGCCGCCUGAAUGCAGUGGGACUUGAGGAGAAUCUCACAGACACACAAUCAACUAUAUAUAUCGCCGCAGAGACUGAUCCGUCGCCAGUGGUUCUGUGAUACAUUUGUGAAUCGAUUUGCUGCGUAACAUUUCUUAAUUACGGCAUGUUUUUUUAUUACGUUGACAUAAGAUAUUUGUGCCUUCUUCAAGUUGUCUUAAUUAAACUACGAUUACCUUUAUUCGCACCAAGCUUUGUUUUGACAUCACGUCUUACUUGUAGACGACACAAACCAGCACGGUCGGCUUCAACAUCCGUGCGGUGUAGCAAAAUAAAACAAAAUUUGCUAAUCCUA